Molecule: long non-coding RNA, 1236 nt
Filed under: Triticum aestivum (bread wheat)
Lineage: Eukaryota; Viridiplantae; Streptophyta; Magnoliopsida; Poales; Poaceae
Description: long non-coding RNA (TAES_LNC011815)
Source: RNAcentral
AGCAUAUUUUUGGAACACCAACUGGACCAUGAAACAAACAUAUAUAGCAAGCCAAGAAAAGGAGGAAUCAUGAUGCCACAAUGAAAAGAGUAAGUCCAAUGGACACAACUACAGAAGCACAUGUCAUAGGACAAGAUGCAAAAUCUAUAUAUCAAUUAGAUAUAGAAACAAAAACAGGAAAGAGUAAUCAUAAUGAUCUGAGUAUGUUGUAGAUUUCCUACUGAAAUUAUAAUUUAAUCAAUUUAAUGUCAAGAGAAAUGCAAUGAGGAAAGGGCCUGUAACAUGGAGUUGGUCCAACCCAGCCUCUCUAAUUCAUGAAACAGUAAGUUAAUUGUCACAGUCUUCUAGUUAUUAAUGGUCCUGCGUCACUAAUCUCAACCAACGCCAAAAGUUUGUGAUCCCAUGAAUGUACUAAGCGAUUUCCAUCAAGCCUGGACCAGCUCUCUUAGAUACCCCUGCCAAAAAUAGGAAAAUAGAACUAUGAAUACUCUCAGCUUACACAAAAUAAAACACUAUGCAGGACAUGAUAGACACUUAGAAUUGCAAAGUUCAUUCGAUGUCAUAAAGCAAAAGACUAAGAACCAUUAUGUACCAACCUGGACGUUGCCUCUUACUCCCUUAGAUAUCAUGGUUCAACAAAUAAACCUCUUACUCCCUAGAAAUAGUAAAUCCUGCCUUCAUCAAUUACAGGGAGGAGCUUCCAACUGGAUUUGAAGGACCAUUUGUAUUAUACCCCCCCUAUACCAAUAUAAAAAACAACAAUCUUUUCACCAUCAAUAGUUAUCCUGCAACAUCAUUCAACUCUCACAUGAUUUAGAGAGAGUAGUAAUGAAGCACAGAUAAUAACAUUUGUCAGAAAAGAGUAGGAGAGAAACAAACAGAGUACAAUUUGAAUGCUCGGAACAAUCAAAUUAAACACUACAGGGAAAACUAAGAACAAUCAACCUUAACUACUGUAGGGAAGAUAAAAGUCGUCUCAAAUUAACUGCUAUUGGCUUUACUAAUCUACUAUUGUUCAGACUAAUUAUCAACUACUACAGGAAAAACCAAGAACAAUUGACCGCAACUAUUGCAUGAAAGAUAAAGCAUUCUCAAAUUCUUUUUUCUUUCCGAGUUGAAUGACUCCAUCCAGACCAAAUGACCAAGCUGGUCAUAAAAAGGGACAUAAAAAAAUGUCGAUAGAAGUGAAUCAGUAAAAACAAAAACAAAAAACUGUAUGCGAAUAAUCAAGAUGGG